GCGCUCGCUUCCGCAGCACAUAUACUAAAACUGGAACGAUACAGAGAAGAUUAGCAUGGCCCCUGCGCAAGGAUGACACGCAAGGAAGCGUUCCAUAUUUUU
Small nuclear RNA from Hippopotamus amphibius kiboko, 102 nucleotides. The record is from RefSeq and is a predicted model, not a curated record. Lineage: Eukaryota; Metazoa; Chordata; Mammalia; Artiodactyla; Hippopotamidae.